UUAGUUUAAAUCAUUGUAGAUCUAGACUUUGAAAAUUGAACCCACAUAAAAUGGUGGAACAUACAUGGGUUUUAUCCAA
Molecule: microRNA precursor, 79 nt
Filed under: Medicago truncatula (barrel medic)
Lineage: Eukaryota; Viridiplantae; Streptophyta; Magnoliopsida; Fabales; Fabaceae
Description: MIR5269 microRNA precursor family
Rfam family: MIR5269 microRNA precursor family
Source: Rfam by way of RNAcentral